This 229-nucleotide ribosomal RNA is filed under the name uncultured bacterium. Its description in RNAcentral is "partial 16S ribosomal RNA". It matches the Rfam family "Bacterial small subunit ribosomal RNA", at positions 568 to 796 of the family's 1533-position model. The record is from RNAcentral.
UGCGUAGGCGGAAUAUUAAGUCAGUGGUGAAAUCCUGCGGCUCAGCCGUAGAACUGCUAUUGAUACUGAUAUUCUUGAAUGUAGUUGAGGUAGGCGGAAUGUGUAAUGUAGCGGUGAAAUGCUUAGAUAUUACACAGAACACCGAUUGCGAAGGCAGCUUACUAAACUAUGAUUGACGCUGAGGCACGAAAGCGUGGGGAGCGAACAGGAUUAGAUACCCUGGUAGUCC